GACGAACGCUGGCGGCGUGCUUAACCCAUGCAAGUCGAACGGAAAGGCCCUGCUUUUGUGGGGUGCUCGAGUGGCGAACGGGUGAGUAACACGUGAGUAACCUGCCCUUGACUUUGGGAUAACUUCAGGAAACUGGGGCUAAUACCGGAUAGGAGCUCCUGCUGCAUGGUGGGGGUUGGAAAGUUUCGGCGGUUGGGGAUGGACUCGCGGCUUAUCAGCUUGUUGGUGGGGUAGUGGCUUACCAAGGCUUUGACGGGUAGCCGGCCUGAGAGGGUGACCGGCCACAUUGGGACUGAGAUACGGCCCAGACUCCUACGGGAGGCAGCAGUGGGGAAUAUUGCACAAUGGGCGGGAGCCUGAUGCAGCAACGCCGCGUGCGGGAUGACGGCCUUCGGGUUGUAAACCGCUUUCGCCUGUGACGAAGCGUGAGUGACGGUAAUGGGUAAAGAAGCACCGGCUAACUACGUG
Molecule: ribosomal RNA, 468 nt
Filed under: uncultured bacterium
Lineage: Bacteria
Description: partial 16S ribosomal RNA
Rfam family: Bacterial small subunit ribosomal RNA
Source: RNAcentral